UUUUUUUUUUUUUUUUUUUUUUUUUUUUCAUGGUGCUGGAUGUUUCUCCU
RNAcentral lists this non-coding RNA (50 nucleotides) under Akashiwo sanguinea. Lineage: Eukaryota; Dinophyceae; Gymnodiniales; Gymnodiniaceae. The record is from RNAcentral.